UCGAGGACGAACGCUGGCGGCGUGCCUAACACACGCAAGUCGAGCGGAGUUAACAAGAGGAAGUUUCGGAUGGAAUUUGUAAUUAGCGGCGGACGGGUGAGUAACGCGUGAGCGACCAACCUUGGCACAGGGGGAUAACGGACCGAAAGGUUCACUAAUACCGCAUGAGACCACGGUGUUGCAUGACACAGAGGUCAAAGGAGCAAUCCGGUGCAAGACGGGCUCGGCGUCCGAUUAGGGUAGUUGGUGGGGUAAUGGCCCCACCAAGCCUAUGAUCGGUAGCCGACCUGAGAGGGUGAUCGGCCACAUUGGAACUGAGAUACGGUCCAAACUCCUACGGGAGGCAGGCAGUGGGGAAUAUUGGGCAAUGGGGGAAAAACCCCCUGACCCAGCAACGCCGCGUGAAGGAAGAAGGUUUUCGGAUUGUAAACUUCUGUCCUUGGUGAAGAGAAGAAGACAGUAGCCAAGGAGGAAGCCCCGGCUAACUACGUGCCAGCAGCGGC
Molecule: ribosomal RNA, 503 nt
Filed under: uncultured bacterium
Lineage: Bacteria
Description: bacterial SSU rRNA
Rfam family: Bacterial small subunit ribosomal RNA
Source: RNAcentral